This 20-nucleotide unclassified non-coding RNA is filed under the name Mus musculus (house mouse). RNAcentral describes it as "oocyte_clustered_small_RNA4270". The record is from RNAcentral. Lineage: Eukaryota; Metazoa; Chordata; Mammalia; Rodentia; Muridae.
CAAAUAACAGUCCUGCCGUG